This 482-nucleotide ribosomal RNA is filed under the name uncultured bacterium. RNAcentral's name for it is "partial 16S ribosomal RNA". It matches the Rfam family "Bacterial small subunit ribosomal RNA", at positions 28 to 523 of the family's 1533-position model. The record is from RNAcentral.
GAUGAACGCUGGCGGCGUGCUUAACACAUGCAAGUCGAACGAUGAAGCCCAGCUUGCUGGGUGGAUUAGUGGCGAACGGGUGAGUAACACGUGAGUAACCUGCCCUUAACUCUGGGAUAAGCCUGGGAAACUGGGUCUAAUACCGGAUAGGAGCGCCUACCGCAUGGUGGGUGUUGGAAAGAUUUAUCGGUUUUGGAUGGACUCGCGGCCUAUCAGCUCGUUGGUGAGGUAAUGGCUCACCAAGGCGACGACGGGUAGCCGGCCUGAGAGGGUGACCGGCCACACUGGGAAUGAGACACGGCCCAGACUCCUACGGGAGGCAGCAGUGGGGAAUAUUGCACAAUGGGCGCAAGCCUGAUGCAGCGACGCCGCGUGAGGGAUGACGGCCUUCGGGUUGUAAACCUCUUUCAGUAGGGAAGAAGCGAAAGUGACGGUACCUGCAGAAGAAGCACCGGCUAAUUACGUGCCAGCCGCCGCCGUAA